GAAAAAAGGGGAACAGGUUUUUUGGCAGGUUGAAAAUUUACACUUACACAGGCAUCUUUUUGUUUUUUGCAAUGAGAAGAGAUUUAGACAUUUAAAGCCUAAGAUUUGUGCCUGAAGAUUUGUAUCAAAAAGAGACAAAUAUGUAUUUUAUAAACAGAUGCGACAGAGGGUCAGGUAUUCUGUGCUUAUGUGACUUGAAGUAGUCAAGAAUGACUUCUUUUUUCAUUGCAAUAAUGAAAAUUAUACUUGUAUGCAUUAACUGGAUCAGAAAGGAGCGUAUCAGGGAAGCGGAAUGACUUUACUGCUCUUGCUGUGCUUAAUUGUCAAAAACUCGCUGUUAUUUUUUCUCUUAUAUAUUCCACCUUUCUUUUAAGUGAAAGGCAGAUAUGGGAUAUCUGCUCUCCCUAGUUGAAAGAGAUGGUGCCAUAGAUGUUGAGUGAAUUUAUGUUCCCAACACAGAUGUCAUGUCUUGAACACUCCCAGGUAUUUUAGACUGUUGUUCUUUCAGAUAUUGUAAGGGCUCAGGGUCUUACAGUGAUGGAGACUAUCAGUUUUAACAGUGGUGGAACUUGGAGACACUGCAGCAGUUGAGCCACAGAGACUGCUUUGGCUAGUCAAACCUAGUAGAUUAAACUGUCUUUUACUGCUAUUUGCUUGAUGUGCAUGGAAAAAGCCUGAUCUGUAUCCUUUAGCACUACUUCUAACAUGCAGCUGAAGAGAGAACUUCAGGAAAUGUGGUUGGGGUAUUUACUGGCUUUGUAUAUUGACCUCCUUUUGUUAGCCUCCUCAUUUUGUUGCUUAAGCUAAUGGGCCCAAGCAACAAAAUCUCAUCAGAAAUAGUGUAUUUAUUUGAUUGUUUCAUGGAUAUCAGGAAUACAUGUAAAAUAGAGUUAAAACAUGACUGCCUUAAGUUCUUAAAAUUAUAUCCAAAAUGUAUCUGCUAUUGUUUCUGUUGAUUCCCUGUUUAAGUACAGUUCAGGAACAUUUUGUCCCUCCAUAUAUAUCCAAGCAUCUUAACAGCAGAGUGAAGCAAGACAGCAUGAUUCUUCUCUGUUUAAUAAUUUGCCCAGGCACUCGUAUCUGAAAAGCACACAGAAAUAAACAUUUUAGGGAGAAAAUCUAGUCUUUGUAGAUAAGCUCUGGGAAAAGGGAAAGAAAAAUUCCCUCUCACAAACAAGCAAUUCCAGCACCACAUUGUUGUUACAUGUUUUGUUCUAUAGUUACAAUGGCCUUGGUGUUGAUAACAGAGCAGAGAUGGAGCAGGUAGCAAGUUUUUGUUUCUGCUGGUUGAAGAACAUUAAUUCUUCUGAGAAAUAGGGAUGAUGUUGGUAUAAAUCACUCUUCCCAAGUUGUUGGAGUUGAACUGAGAAGCAAGAACAUGGCAAAUUAGUGCUCUACUUGCUUUGUCUGCCAGCCAGAAAAGUAUAUCUAUAGAAGCAGCUAAGGAAAUGUACAGAAUAGAGUAAAAUUCAUUUCCACAUCUAAAGGUAAAUUCAUAAGCUGAAAAUUCUGUUUUCAACAUCUGAAUGUACUGAAAUAUCCUGUUUAUUAUAUCUAUACACUUAGUGACAGAACUUAAAUUUCUUGUUCCCUGUUUUGUAGCAAGUAUCUGUAGUAGCAAGCAGUUGAAGAGCAUACUUCACCAGUAGCCUGCAUGCUUUUCCUUUUUCUUUCCUGGGUCUAGCUGACUGUUAAUUCAAUAGAACGGAGCUGUACAAACCUCCAACACAUGCAGUUCUUUGGACGUGAAAAUCCACCUCCCAAAAGCUUUUGUGUUUUUUGUUAGAGAAGCCCUCUUGCUGAGAGACAGCUGUGCAGAUUUUACACCUGCUUAAAAAAAGACAGCAAAGAAAACUGAAAUAUGGGCUCAUCUUCAGAGGAGCUGAGCACCCGUCAGCACUGUCACCUUCUGUGGGAGCAUGAAUACCCAUUUCUGGCAGUAAGGCUCUGUAGCAGCAUGGAAGUGUUCUUUACCUGGGAGCAGGCCCUGUUCUGUUGACAGACAGAAACUUAGAGAGAAAUUAAGCUUCUGAAAAGUGACUCUGUAUCUGUCUCCCAGUGACAGAACCUGCUGAGACAACAGCAAAUACAAACACGAGGCUUCCAUGCGGUGCUACUGCUUUAUUAUUUCCUC
Long non-coding RNA from Neopsephotus bourkii (Bourke's parrot), 2134 nucleotides. RefSeq lists it as uncharacterized. NCBI's taxonomy places the organism in Eukaryota, Metazoa, Chordata, Aves, Psittaciformes, Psittacidae. The transcript has 3 exons. The record is from RefSeq and is a predicted model, not a curated record.